CCUACGGGAGGCAGCAGUGGGGGAUAUUGCACAAUGGGGGGAACCCUGAUGCAGCGACGCCGCGUGGGUGAAGAAGCGCCUCGGUGCGUAAAGCCCUGUCAGCAGGGGAGAAAAUGACGGUACCUGAAGAAGAAGCCCCGGCUAACUACGUGCCAGCAGGCGCGGUAAUACGUAGGGGGCAAGGGUUAUCCGGAUUUACUGGGGGUAAAGGGGGCGCAGACGGCGAUGCAAGCCAGGAGUGAAAGCCCGGGGCCCAACCCCGGGCCUGCCCUUGAAACUGCGUGGCUUGAGUGAAGGAGGGGCAGGCGGAAUGCCUGGUGUAGCGGUGAAAUGCGUAGAUAUCAGGAGGAACACCGGUGGCGAAGGCGGCCUGCUGGACUGCAACUGACGUUGAGGCCCGAAAGCGUGGGGAGCAAACAGGAUUAGAUACCCGAGUAGUC
RNAcentral lists this ribosomal RNA (440 nucleotides) under uncultured bacterium. RNAcentral describes it as "partial 16S ribosomal RNA". It matches the Rfam family "Bacterial small subunit ribosomal RNA", at positions 338 to 795 of the family's 1533-position model. The record is from RNAcentral.